This 246-nucleotide ribosomal RNA is filed under the name uncultured bacterium. Its description in RNAcentral is "partial 16S ribosomal RNA". It matches the Rfam family "Bacterial small subunit ribosomal RNA", at positions 15 to 240 of the family's 1533-position model. The record is from RNAcentral.
GAUCCUGGCUCAGGACGAACGCUGGCGGCGCGCCUAACACAUGCAAGUCGAACGGAGAUUACAGGCGGAAGUUUUCGGAUGGAAGCUUGUAAACUUAGUGGCGGACGGGUGAGUAACACGUGAGCAACCUGCCUAUCAGAGGGGGAUAACGAUUGGGAAACGAUCGCUAAAUACCGCAUGACAUAGCGGAACCGCAUGGUUCUGUUAUCAAAGAUUUUAUCGACUGAUAGAUGGGCUCGCGUCCGA